This 195-nucleotide ribosomal RNA is filed under the name Clostridioides difficile. RNAcentral describes it as "partial 23S ribosomal RNA". It matches the Rfam family "Bacterial large subunit ribosomal RNA", at positions 1 to 194 of the family's 2925-position model. The record is from RNAcentral. Lineage: Bacteria; Bacillati; Bacillota; Clostridia; Peptostreptococcales; Peptostreptococcaceae.
UGGUCAAGUUAUUAAGGGUGCAGGGCGGAUGCCUUGGCACUAGGAGCCGAUGAAGGACGUGAUAAGCUGCGAUAAGCUUCGGGGAGUUGCACGUAACCUUUGAUCCGAAGAUUUCCGAAUGAGGAAACUCACUUAGAGUAAUGUCUAAGUAUCAUUAAGUGAAUACAUAGCUUAAUGAGGGGAACUCAGGGAACU